UGUCGAUUCCGUGUAUUUAAAGGGAGACUUUACGCUGGAAGCAGAAAGCCAGCCCCACUCGCCGUGUCCGUCUCCCAGGGCUGCCGUAACAAAUCCCCACGCACUGGGCGGCUUGAAACAACAGAAAUCCUUUCCCACCGUUCUGGAGACCAGAGGUCUGAAAUCGAGGGGAUGGGCGGUGGGCUCCCUCCACGGCUCUGAGGGGGCAUCCGUUCCCCACCUCUCUCCUGGCUUCCGAUGCUGCGGGCCAUGCUUGGCUGUCCUCGGCUUGUGGCUGUAUCACUCCCCUCUCUGCCUGUCUGCACACGGCUUUCCUCCCCGUACCUCUGCGUCAGCUCCCCUUUCUCUGAUGCAAGCACCAGUCACUGGAUUUAGGAUCCCCCGUAAUCCAGGAUGGUCUCACCUCGAGGUCCUUAACUUCAUUGCAUCUGCAAAGACCCUCUUUACAAAUAAGGUCCCGUCCUCAGGUACCGGGGGCUGGGACGUGGACAUAUCGUUUUAGGAGGGUGACACCACUUGACCCACUAUACUUGCCAGAAACUAAAGAUGCUAUACAGGGCUCUGAGCUGAGACAGCUGUGCUGGCGUCUCCACGUCCACGGAAACCUCAGGCAGCCCCAAGCGGGCUUCGGAGCGCAGACCCCGUUCAAGUCCCUGGGCUGUUCCUCCCCAGCCACGCACGUGGUUAAACCCCGGAUGCUCCUGGCAGGGCCUUGGUUGUGUAGACGGAGCGGGGACAGGCCUCCAGGUGAUUCUGAAGGGUGGCCAAGGUGAGAACCAGUCCCGGCCACUCCCAUCCUGGGAAAGAACAGGCCCCCCCACGCCCACCCCCCACACCUGUGGCCUCUUCUCAUCCUUCUGGCUGCUGCUAACUUGUCACCCUCCAGAGACUGCUUCAAAGUCAGUCCCCUGCUUUCUUCUAUCAGCGUCCACUUAUUUCCUUCCUGGCACUUGUCACGCAUCGAAUUAUUUCUGUUUGUUUGUUUGAUGCAUCCAAAAUCCCAUUGUUUUAGUUGAGGGAACCCCUGAGAGC
RNAcentral lists this long non-coding RNA (1032 nucleotides) under Equus caballus (horse). RNAcentral's name for it is "lncRNA (ENSECAG00000052324.1)". The record is from RNAcentral. Lineage: Eukaryota; Metazoa; Chordata; Mammalia; Perissodactyla; Equidae.